AGAAUCAACGCUGGCGGCGUGCCUCAGACAUGCAAGUCGAACGCGAAAGGUUCCUUCGGGAACUGAUUAGAGUGGCGCACGGGUGAGUAACACGUAGGUAAUUUGCCUUUGGGUGGGGAAUAACAGUCGGAAACGGCUGCUAAUACCGCAUAAUGCAGCGGCUCGACAUCGAGACAGUUGUUAAAGCGGGGGAUCGCAAGACCUCGCGCCUGAAGAGAAGCCUGCGGCAGAUUAGCUUGUUGGUAGGGUAAUGGCCUACCAAGGCAUCGAUCUGUA
This 276-nucleotide ribosomal RNA is filed under the name uncultured bacterium. RNAcentral describes it as "partial small subunit ribosomal RNA". It matches the Rfam family "Bacterial small subunit ribosomal RNA", at positions 26 to 285 of the family's 1533-position model. The record is from RNAcentral.